Molecule: transfer RNA, 70 nt
Filed under: Marmota monax (woodchuck)
Lineage: Eukaryota; Metazoa; Chordata; Mammalia; Rodentia; Sciuridae
Description: tRNA.Ala
Rfam family: tRNA
About the family: Transfer RNA (tRNA) molecules are approximately 80 nucleotides in length. Their secondary structure includes four short double-helical elements and three loops (D, anti-codon, and T loops).
Source: RNAcentral
GAGGCUGUGGCUCAGUGGUAGAGCGCUCACCUAGCACGUGCGAGGUACUGGUUCAAUCCUCAGCACCACA